GCGGACGGGUGAGNUAACACGAUAGGGUAACCUACCUAUAAGACUGNGGNAUAACUUCGGGAAACCGGAGCUAAUACCGGAUAAUAUUUCGAACCGCAUGGUUCGAUAGUGAAAGAUGGCUUUGCUAUCACUUAUAGAUGGACCUGCGCCGUAUUAGCUAGUUGGUAAGGUAACGGCUUACCAAGGCAACGAUACGUAGCCGACCUGAGAGGGUGAUCGGCCACACUGGAACUGAGACACGGUCCAGACUCCUACGGGAGGCAGCAGUAGGGAAUCUUCCGCAAUGGGCGAAAGCCUGACGGAGCAACGCCGCGUGAGUGAUGAAGGUCUUCGGAUCGUAAANCUCUGUUAUUAGGGAAGAACAAACGUGUAAGUAACUGUGCACGUCUUGACGGUACCUAAUCAGAAAGCCACGGCUAACUACGUGCCAGCAGCCGCGGUAAUACGUAGGUGGCAAGCGUUAUCCGGAAUUAUUGGGCGUAAAGCGCGCGUAGGCGGUUUUUUAAGUCUGAUGUG
This 516-nucleotide ribosomal RNA is filed under the name Staphylococcus hominis subsp. hominis. RNAcentral describes it as "bacterial SSU rRNA". It matches the Rfam family "Bacterial small subunit ribosomal RNA", at positions 98 to 596 of the family's 1533-position model. The record is from RNAcentral. Lineage: Bacteria; Bacillati; Bacillota; Bacilli; Caryophanales; Staphylococcaceae.